Molecule: ribosomal RNA, 254 nt
Filed under: uncultured bacterium
Lineage: Bacteria
Description: partial 16S ribosomal RNA
Rfam family: Bacterial small subunit ribosomal RNA
Source: RNAcentral
CACGUAGGGGGCGAGCGUUGUCCGGAUUUAUUGGGCGUAAAGAGCUCGUAGGCGGCUCGGUAAGUCGGGUGUGAAACCUCCAGGCUCAACCUGGAGACGCCACCUGAUACUGCUGUGGCUAGAGUCCGGUAGGGGGGUGUGGAACUCCUGGUGUAGCGGUGAAAUGCGCAGAUAUCAGGAAGAACACCAGCGGCGAAGGCGGCACUCUGGGCCGGAACUGACGCUGAGGAGCGAAAGCGUGGGUAGCAAACAGG